GUGUUGUCGGAAAGGUGAGAAGGUUAGCACUCCCCUUGACUAAGAUGGAAGAGGCCCUCGGGGUGUUACAUAAAAAUCGUACGACGCACAUAUAAUUAAGGAUUGCCCUCUACUUCGUGGCAUCUAACCAUUUUUUUUU
RNAcentral lists this non-coding RNA (139 nucleotides) under Tupaia belangeri chinensis (Chinese tree shrew). Lineage: Eukaryota; Metazoa; Chordata; Mammalia; Scandentia; Tupaiidae. The record is from RNAcentral.